AGCGCUUCAUCUGCCAAUUCUCUCUUUUGAAGUUGGUGGGAGAUCUGAAGAGGAGUGAAGCAAAAUGAAAAUGGAACAGACAGUGUCUAAUGCCCUUGAUGAUAAUUGCCAAUUUGCCUACACCUCCCUAGAGGACAUUCUUCCAAUCACUCUAGUAGGAGGUUUUUGAGCCAUUCGAUCUGAUGGACAAUUACCAGCCUACAAUGAGUUGGGCCUCCUUGCCAGUUCAUGGAUCUGAAGCUCUCAGGACCCACUGUCAAU
Molecule: long non-coding RNA, 261 nt
Filed under: Monodelphis domestica (gray short-tailed opossum)
Lineage: Eukaryota; Metazoa; Chordata; Mammalia; Didelphimorphia; Didelphidae
Description: lncRNA (ENSMODG00000047519.1)
Source: RNAcentral